UACGAAGGGGGCUAGCGUUGUUCGGAAUUACUGGGCGUAAAGCGUGCGCAGGCGGCUUCUCAAGUCAGGGGUGAAAGCCCAGAGCUUAACUCUGGAAUUGCCUUUGAGACUGAGAGGCUUGAGUACGGGAGAGGUGAGUGGAAUUCCCAGUGUAGAGGUGAAAUUCGUAGAUAUUGGGAAGAACACCGGUGGCGAAGGCGGCUCACUGGACCGGAACUGACGCUGAGGCGCGAAAGCGUGGGGAGCAAACAGG
This 253-nucleotide ribosomal RNA is filed under the name uncultured bacterium. RNAcentral's name for it is "partial 16S ribosomal RNA". It matches the Rfam family "Bacterial small subunit ribosomal RNA", at positions 524 to 776 of the family's 1533-position model. The record is from RNAcentral.